This 115-nucleotide ribosomal RNA is filed under the name Acinetobacter schindleri. RNAcentral also lists the same sequence under 2 other names. Lineage: Bacteria; Pseudomonadati; Pseudomonadota; Gammaproteobacteria; Moraxellales; Moraxellaceae. The record is from RNAcentral.
GCUGGCGACCAUAGCAAGAGUGAACCACCUGAUCCCUUCCCGAACUCAGAAGUGAAACCUCUUAGCGCUGAUGGUAGUGUGGGGCUUCCCAUGUGAGAGUAAGUCAUCGCCAGCU